Molecule: ribosomal RNA, 467 nt
Filed under: uncultured bacterium
Lineage: Bacteria
Description: partial 16S ribosomal RNA
Rfam family: Bacterial small subunit ribosomal RNA
Source: RNAcentral
GACGAACGCUGGCGGCGUGCUUAACACAUGCAAGUCGAACGGAAAGGCCCUGCUUUUGUGGGGUGCUCGAGUGGCGAACGGGUGAGUAACACGUGAGUAACCUGCCCUUGACUUUGGGAUAACUUCAGGAAGCUGGGGCUAAUACCGGAUAGGAGCUCCUGCUGCAUGGUGGGGGUUGGAAAGUUUCGGCGGUUGGGGAUGGACUCGCGGCUUAUCAGCUUGUUGGUGGGGUAGUGGCUUACCAAGGCUUUGACGGGUAGCCGGCCUGAGAGGGUGACCGGCAAAAUGGGGACUGGGAUACGGCCCAGACUCCUACGGGAGGCAGCAGUGGGGAAUAUUGCACAAUGGGCGGAAGCCUGAUGCAGCAACGCCGCGUGCGGGAUGACGGCCUUCGGGUUGUAAACCGCUUUCGCCUGUGACGAAGCGUGAGUGACGGUAAUGGGUAAAGAAGCACCGGCUAACUACGU